GGCGAACGGGUGAGUAACACGUGGGUGAUCUGCCCUGCACUUCGGGAUAAGCUUGGGAAACUGGGUCUAAUACCGGAUAGGAGCCAUCUUUAGUGUGGUGGUUGGAAAGUUUUUCGGUGUAGGAUGAGCUCGCGGCCUAUCAGCUUGUUGGUGGGGUAAUGGCCUACCAAGGCGGCGACGGGUAGCCGGCCUGAGAGGGUGUACGGCCACAUUGGGACUGAGAUACGGCCCAG
Molecule: ribosomal RNA, 233 nt
Filed under: uncultured Actinomycetales bacterium
Lineage: Bacteria; Bacillati; Actinomycetota; Actinomycetes; Actinomycetales
Description: partial 16S ribosomal RNA
Rfam family: Bacterial small subunit ribosomal RNA
Source: RNAcentral